Molecule: ribosomal RNA, 160 nt
Filed under: Convolvulus ammannii
Lineage: Eukaryota; Viridiplantae; Streptophyta; Magnoliopsida; Solanales; Convolvulaceae
Also listed under: 4 other names
Description: 5.8S ribosomal RNA
Rfam family: 5.8S ribosomal RNA
About the family: 5.8S ribosomal RNA (5.8S rRNA) is a component of the large subunit of the eukaryotic ribosome.
Source: RNAcentral
ACGACUCUCGGCAACGGAUAUCUCGGCUCUCGCAUCGAUGAAGAACGUAGCGAAAUGCGAUACUUGGUGUGAAUUGCAGAAUCCCGUGAACCAUCGAGUCUUUGAACGCAAGUUGCGCCCAAAGCCGUCAGGCCGAGGGCACGUCUGCCUGGGCGUCACG